AUAAGGUUCAUCUCAAAUCGUAGCACAAAAUAAUUUAACCGAGCAUAAUGUUGAAAUUAAACAAAGAAAGGAUAAAAGAUAUCACCAAAACUCGACAAAACGUGAUUAAUAUACGUAUCAAAAUUUCAUCACAAUUCUGUCAACUCCUCUCCUUCCUGCCGACAGCAUGCAUAUGUGUGUGUAUCCCAGCCACCACUUUAUAUUUUGGUUUCAAUUCAAUUCCAACCAACUUUUCUCUUUUCCUGUGCGUGAGACCUUUUUGGCAGCAGCUCUCUUUUUUUUUCUUCUUUUCGUCCCCUCCUUCCUGUGUUUGCCUGUUUGCAUUGGUAUAUAUAAUUGUUAAACCCUCAACUCCAUUCUCCAAUAAUGAGGCCCAAUUUCUAUUCCAUUACAAUUGGUCUUAGACCCAAUUAAAUGUAGUUUAUUUUCCAAGGCUUCUCUUCAUGGAAUUAAGGUACUUUAGUCCUCGAAUUGAUUUAAUAGUGCUACUCAUGUCCUUUUUUAGUUCAAUUCAAGCCCUUCAAUUUGCAAAGUGUGGGAUAUUGUCUACAAACUUUCAUCCAACGGCCAAUUUGUCCUUCUUCUCUUUUCAAUUGCUUCAAACGAGUCUGUAACUAAAAACAACAGAAAACUAACCCAAGUUAAGUAAAAACUAAUAAUUUGACGACAUAAAAGCCUAGUUAUGUAGUUCGAAUAAGUGCACAA
RNAcentral lists this long non-coding RNA (705 nucleotides) under Olea europaea subsp. europaea. Lineage: Eukaryota; Viridiplantae; Streptophyta; Magnoliopsida; Lamiales; Oleaceae. The record is from RNAcentral.